AUUGAACGCUGGCGGCAGGCCUAACACAUGCAAGUCGAGCGGAUGAAGGGAGCUAGCUCCUGGAUUCAGCGGCGGACGGGUGAGUAAUGCCGAGGAAUCUGCCUGGUAGUGGGGGAUAACGUCCGGAAACGGGCGCUAAUACCGCAUACGUCCUGAGGGAGAAAGUGGGGGAGCUUCGGACCUCACGCUAUCAGAUGAGCCUAGGUCGGAUUAGCUAGUUGGUGGGGUAAAGGCCUACCAAGGCGACGAUCCGUAACUGGUCUGAGAGGAUGAUCAGUCACACUGGAACUGAGACACGGUCCAGACUCCUACGGGAGGCAGCAGUGGGGAAUAUUGGACAAUGGGCGCAAGCCUGAUCCAGCCAUGCCGCGUGUGUGAAGAAGGUCUUCGGAUUGUAAAGCACUUUAAGUUGGGAGGAAGGGCAGUAAGUUAAUACCUUGCUGUUUUGACGUUACCAACAGAAUAAGCACCGGCUAACUUCGUG
Molecule: ribosomal RNA, 484 nt
Filed under: uncultured bacterium
Lineage: Bacteria
Description: partial 16S ribosomal RNA
Rfam family: Bacterial small subunit ribosomal RNA
Source: RNAcentral